This 105-nucleotide small nucleolar RNA is filed under the name Hanseniaspora osmophila. Lineage: Eukaryota; Fungi; Ascomycota; Saccharomycetes; Saccharomycodales; Saccharomycodaceae. The record is from RNAcentral.
UACUAUGAUGAUAAAAACUUUAACAACAACAACUAAUGAAUUUCUUCGACUGAAUUAUAACAACCCAUGUAGAUAAAAUACUUUGACAGCUUUUUAACCCUGAGU